GUGGGGAAUAUUGGACAAUGGGGGGAACCCUGAUCCAGCCAUGCCGCGUGUGUGAAGAAGGCCUUUUGGUUGUAAAGCACUUUAAGUGGGGAGGAGGCUUACCUGGUUAAUACCUGGGCUAAGUGGACGUUACCCACAGAAUAAGCAACGGCUAACUCUGUGCCAGCAGCCGCGGUAAUACAGAGGGUGCGAGCGUUAAUCGGAUUUACUGGGCGUAAAGCGCGCGUAGGUGGUUAAUUAAGUCAAAUGUGAAAUCCCCGUGCUUAACUUGGGAAUUGCAUUCGAUACUGGUUAGCUAGAGUAUGGGAGAGGAUGGUAGAAUUCCAGGUGUAGCGGUGAAAUGCGUAGAGAUCUGGAGGAAUACCGAUGGCGAAGGCAGCCAUCUGGCCUAAUACUGACACUGAGGUGCGAAAGCAUGGGGAGCAAACAGGAUUAGAUACCCCGGUAGUCC
Molecule: ribosomal RNA, 451 nt
Filed under: uncultured bacterium
Lineage: Bacteria
Description: partial 16S ribosomal RNA
Rfam family: Bacterial small subunit ribosomal RNA
Source: RNAcentral